This 494-nucleotide ribosomal RNA is filed under the name uncultured bacterium. RNAcentral describes it as "partial 16S ribosomal RNA". It matches the Rfam family "Bacterial small subunit ribosomal RNA", at positions 28 to 507 of the family's 1533-position model. The record is from RNAcentral.
GACGAACGCUGGCGGCGUGCUUAACACAUGCAAGUCGAACGGAAAGGCCUGCUUUCCCUUGUGGGUUGCGGGUACUCGAGUGGCGAACGGGUGAGUAACACGUGAGUGAUCUGCCCCCAACUUGGGUAUAAGCCUGGGAAACUGGGUCUAAUUCCCGAUAGGACUGCAGGGUGGUGCCUGUGGUGGAAAACGAUUUUCUAGUGGUUGGGGAUGAGCUCGCGGCCUAUCAGCUUGUUGGUGGGGUAAUGGCCUACCAAGGCGGCGACGGGUAGCCGGCCUGAGAGGGUGGACGGCCACAUUGGGACUGAGAUACGGCCCAGACUCCUACGGGAGGCAGCAGUGGGGAAUAUUGCACAAUGGGCGGAAGCCUGAUGCAGCGACGCCGCGGGGGGGAUGACGGCCUUCGGGUUGUAAACUCCUUUCGACCGCGAGGAAGCCACCUGGUUGGAAGGGUGGUGACGGUAGUGGUAGAAGAAGCACCGGCUAACUACGUG